RNAcentral lists this transfer RNA (92 nucleotides) under Candidatus Celaenobacter polaris. RNAcentral describes it as "tRNA-Ser". It matches the Rfam family "tRNA". From Rfam's summary of the family: Transfer RNA (tRNA) molecules are approximately 80 nucleotides in length. The record is from RNAcentral. Lineage: Bacteria; Pseudomonadati; Candidatus Cloacimonadota; Cloacimonadia (SeqCode).
GGAGAGAUGCCGGAGCGGUCGAUCGGGGCGGUCUCGAAAAUCGUUGUCCGUCGGUUGGCGGACCGUGGGUUCGAAUCCCACUCUCUCCGCCA